RNAcentral lists this unclassified non-coding RNA (244 nucleotides) under uncultured fungus. Its description in RNAcentral is "sequence contains ITS2". The stretch from base 1 to 52 matches the Rfam family "5.8S ribosomal RNA", at positions 103 to 154 of the family's 154-position model. Lineage: Eukaryota; Fungi. RNAcentral also lists the same sequence under 1 other name. The record is from RNAcentral.
AACGCACAUUGCGCUCGCCAGUAUUCUGGCGAGCAUGCCUGUUCGAGCGUCAUUUCAACCAUCAAGCUCUGCUUGCGUUGGGGAUCCGCGGCUGCCCGCGGUCCCUCAAAAUCAGUGGCGGGCUCGCUAGUCACACCGAGCGUAGUAACUCUACAUCGCUAUGGUCGUGCGGCGGGUUCUUGCCGUAAAACCCCCCAUUUCUAAGGUUGACCUCGGAUCAGGUAGGAAUACCCGCUGAACUUAA